CCUACGGGGGGCAGCAGUGGGGAAUAUUGCACAAUGGGGGAAACCCUGAUGCAGCAACGCCGCGUGAAGGAAGACGGCUUUCGGGUUGUAAACUUCUUUUAAGGGGGAAGAGCAGAAGACGGUACCCCUUGAAUAAGCCACGGCUAACUACGUGCCAGCAGCCGCGGUAAUACGUAGGUGGCAAGCGUUGUCCGGAUUUACUGGGUGUAAAGGGCGUGCAGCCGGAGAGACAAGUCAGAUGUGAAAUCCACGGGCUCAACCCGUGAACUGCAUUUGAAACUGUUUCCCUUGAGUGUCGGAGAGGG
RNAcentral lists this ribosomal RNA (305 nucleotides) under uncultured bacterium. RNAcentral's name for it is "bacterial SSU rRNA". It matches the Rfam family "Bacterial small subunit ribosomal RNA", at positions 338 to 658 of the family's 1533-position model. The record is from RNAcentral.